GCAUAUCAUAAGCGGAGGAAAAGAAACUAACAAGGAUUCCCCUAGUAACUGCGAGUGAAGCGGGAAAAGCUCAAAUUUAAAAUCUGGCAGUCUUUGAUUGUCCGAGUUGUAAUCUAGAGAAGCAUUAUCCGCGCUGGACCGUGUACAAGUCUCCUGGAAUGGAGCGUCAUAGAGGGUGAGAAUCCCGUCUUUGACACGGACUGCCAGGGCUUUGUGAUGUGCUCUCAAAGAGUCGAGUUGUUUGGGAAUGCAGCUCAAAAUGGGUGGUAAAUUCCAUCUAAAGCUAAAUAUUGGCGAGAGACCGAUAGCGAACAAGUACCGUGAGGGAAAGAUGAAAAGAACUUUGGAAAGAGAGUUAAACAGUACGUGAAAUUGCUGAAAGGGAAACGCUUGAAGUCAGUCGCGUUGUCCGGGAAUCAACCUUGCUUUUGCUGGGCGUACUUCCUGGUUAACGGGUCAGCAUCAAUUUUGAUCGUUGGAUAAAGUGUUUGGGAAUGUGGCAUCUUCGGAUGUGUUAUAGCCCAGAUUCGCAUACAACGGUUGGGAUUGAGGAACUCAGCACGCCGAAAGGCCGGGUUUUUAACCACGUUCGUGCUUAGGAUGCUGGCAUAAUGGCUUUAAUCGACCCGUCUUGAAACACGGACCAAGGAGUCUAACAUGCCUGCGAGUGUUUGGGUGGAAAACCCGAGCGCGUAAUGAAAGUGAAAGUUGAGAUCCCUGUCGUGGGGAGCAUCGACGCCCGGACUUGAACUUCUGUGACGGAUCCGCGGUAGAGCAUGUAUGUUGGGACCCGAAAGAUGGUGAACUAUGCCUGAAUAGGGUGAAGCCAGAGGAAACUCUGGUGGAGGCUCGUAGCGAUUCUGACGUGCAAAUCGAUCGUCAAAUUUGGGUAUAGGGGGCGAAAGACUAAUCGAACCCAUCUAGUAGCUGGGUUCCUGCGA
RNAcentral lists this ribosomal RNA (941 nucleotides) under Panaeolus semiovatus. Its description in RNAcentral is "LSU rRNA". It matches the Rfam family "Eukaryotic large subunit ribosomal RNA", at positions 38 to 964 of the family's 3401-position model. Lineage: Eukaryota; Fungi; Basidiomycota; Agaricomycetes; Agaricales. The record is from RNAcentral.